RNAcentral lists this ribosomal RNA (303 nucleotides) under uncultured bacterium. RNAcentral describes it as "partial 16S ribosomal RNA". It matches the Rfam family "Bacterial small subunit ribosomal RNA", at positions 507 to 807 of the family's 1533-position model. The record is from RNAcentral.
AGCAGUCGCCGCGGGAAUACGGAGGGUGUAAGCGUUAAUCGGAAUUACUGGGCGUAAAGCGCACGCAGGCGGUUUGUUAAGUCAGAUGUGAAAUCCCCGAGCUUAACUUGGGAACUGCAUUUGAAACCGGCAAGCUAGAGUCUUGUAGAGGGGGGUAGAAUUCCAGGUGUAGCGGUGAAAUGCGUAGAGAUCUGGAGGAAUACCGGUGGCGAAGGCGGCCCCCUGGACAAAGACUGACGCUCAGGUGCGAAAGCGUGGGGAGCAAACAGGAUUAGAGACCCCUGUAGUCCCUGUCUCUUAUAC